RNAcentral lists this unclassified non-coding RNA (358 nucleotides) under soil metagenome. Its description in RNAcentral is "partial contains 5.8S ribosomal RNA, internal transcribed spacer 2, and large subunit ribosomal RNA". The stretch from base 1 to 120 matches the Rfam family "5.8S ribosomal RNA", at positions 35 to 154 of the family's 154-position model. The record is from RNAcentral.
GAUGAAGAACGUAGCGAAAUGCGAUAAGUAAUGUGAAUUGCAGAAUUCAGUGAAUCAUCGAAUCUUUGAACGCACAUUGCGCCCGUCAGUAUUCUGGCGGGCAUGCCUGUUCGAGCGUCAUUACGCCCCUCAAGUCCCCUGUGGACUUGGUGUUGGGGAUCGGCGAGGCUGGUUUUCCAGCACAGCCGUCCCUUAAAUUAAUUGGCGGUCUCGCCGUGGCCCUCCUCUGCGCAGUAGUAAAACACUCGCAACAGGAGCCCGGCGCGGUCCACUGCCGUAAAGCCCCCCAACUUUUUAUAGUUGACCUCGAAUCAGGUAGGACUACCCGCUGAACUUAAGCAUAUCAAUAAGCGGAGGA